Molecule: ribosomal RNA, 1381 nt
Filed under: uncultured bacterium
Lineage: Bacteria
Description: bacterial SSU rRNA
Rfam family: Bacterial small subunit ribosomal RNA
Source: RNAcentral
GAAUUCGCCCUUAGAGUUUGAUCCUGGCUCAGGAUGAACGCUGGCGGCGCGCCUAACACAUGCAAGUCGAACGGCACCUAUCUUCGGAUAGAAGCGAGUGGCGAACGGCUGAGUAACACGUGGAGAACCUGCCCCCUCCCCCGGGAUAGCCGCCCGAAAGGACGGGUAAUACCGGAUACCCCCGGGCGCCGCAUGGCGCCCGGGCUAAAGCCCCGACGGGAGGGGAUGGCUCCGCGGCCCAUCAGGUAGACGGCGGGGUGACGGCCCACCGUGCCGACAACGGGUAGCCGGGUUGAGAGACCGACCGGCCAGAUUGGGACUGAGACACGGCCCAGACUCCUACGGGAGGCAGCAGUGGGGGAUAUUGCACAAUGGGGGAAACCCUGAUGCAGCGACGCCGCGUGGAGGAAGAAGGUUUUCGGAUUGUAAACUCCUGUCGUUAGGGACGAUAAUGACGGUACCUAACAAGAAAGCACCGGCUAACUACGUGCCAGCAGCCGCGGUAAAACGUAGGGUGCAAGCGUUGUCCGGAAUUACUGGGUGUAAAGGGAGCGCAGGCGGGAAGACAAGUUGGAAGUGAAAACCAUGGGCUCAACCCAUGAAUUGCUUUCAAAACUGUUUUUCUUGAGUAGUGCAGAGGUAGAUGGAAUUCCCGGUGUAGCGGUGGAAUGCGUAGAUAUCGGGAGGAACACCAGUGGCGAAGGCGGUCUACUGGGCACCAACUGACGCUGAGGCUCGAAAGCAUGGGUAGCAAACAGGAUUAGAUACCCUGGUAGUCCAUGCCGUAAACGAUGAUUACUAGGUGGUUGGGGGAUUUGACCCCCUCCGGGCCGCCGGUAUAAACAAUAAGUAAUCCCACGCUGGGGAGUAAGACCGCAAGGUGUAAACUCAAGGAAAUUGACGGGGGCCCGCACAAGCAGUGGAGUAUGGGGUUUAAUUCGAAGCAACGCGAAGAACCUUACCAGGUCUUGACAUCCGAUGCAUAACACAGAGAUGUGUGAAAUCAUUCGGGACAUCCCGACAGAGGGUGCAUGGUUGUCGUCAGCUCGUGUCGUGAGAUGUUGGGUUAAGUCCCGCAACGAGCGCAACCCUUAUUGCCAGUUACUACGUUAAGAGGACUCUGGCGAGACUGCCGUUGACAAAACGGAGGAAGGUGGGGAUGACGUCAAAUCAUCAUGCCCUUUAUGACCUGGGCUACACACGUACUACAAUGGCGUUAAACAAAGAGAAGCAAGACCGCGAGGUGGAGCAAAACUCAAAAACAACGUCUCAGUUCAGAUUGCAGGCUGCAACUCGCCUGCAUGAAGUCGGAAUUGCUAGUAAUCGCGGAUCAGCAUGCCGCGGUGAAUACGUUCCCGGGCCUUGCACUCACCGCCCGUCA